Molecule: ribosomal RNA, 253 nt
Filed under: uncultured bacterium
Lineage: Bacteria
Description: partial 16S ribosomal RNA
Rfam family: Bacterial small subunit ribosomal RNA
Source: RNAcentral
UACGAAGGGUGCUAGCGUUGUUCGGAAUUACUGGGCGUAAAGGGUGCGUAGGCGGACUGUUUAGUCAGAGGUGAAAGCCCAGGGCUCAACCUUGGAAUUGCCUUUGAUACUGGCAGUCUUGAGUACGGAAGAGGUAUGUGGAACUCCGAGUGUAGAGGUGAAAUUCGUAGAUAUUCGGAAGAACACCAGUGGCGAAGGCGACAUACUGGGCCGUUACUGACGCUGAGGCUCGAAAGCGUGGGGAGCAAACAGG